Molecule: ribosomal RNA, 449 nt
Filed under: uncultured bacterium
Lineage: Bacteria
Description: partial 16S ribosomal RNA
Rfam family: Bacterial small subunit ribosomal RNA
Source: RNAcentral
AACGAACGCUGGCGGCAUGCCUAAUACAUGCAAGUCGAACGAUCACUUCGGAGAUAGUGGCGCACGGGUGCGUAACGCGUGGGAAUCUGCCCUUGGGUUCGGAAUAACGUCGGGAAACUGACGCUAAUACCGGAUGAUGACGUAAGUCCAAAGAUUUAUCGCCCAGGGAUGAGCCCGCGUAGGAUUAGCUAGUUGGUGGGGUAAAGGCCUACCAAGGCGACGAUCCUUAGCUGGUCUGAGAGGAUGAUCAGCCACACUGGGACUGAGACACGGCCCAGACUCCUACGGGAGGCAGCAGUAGGGAAUAUUGGACAAUGGGGGCAACCCUGAUCCAGCAAUGCCGCGUGAGUGAUGAAGGCCUUAGGGUUGUAAAGCUCUUUUACCCGAGAUGAUAAUGACAGUAUCGGGAGAAUAAGCUCCGGCUAACUCCGUGCCAGCCGCCGCAGUAA